Molecule: long non-coding RNA, 654 nt
Organism: Aquila chrysaetos chrysaetos
Lineage: Eukaryota; Metazoa; Chordata; Aves; Accipitriformes; Accipitridae
Exons: 2
Source: RefSeq, a predicted model, not a curated record
CCCGUGUGUACCUUUCUAAUGGCGAACGCCUGCGCUGGGGCUCACCGGCAGGCUGGGUAGGGGCAGGCGGCGAACCGCGCGAUGGCAGCCGAUAAUUACAGGCCAGCUCUUCAACUAGCAUGAAGACAACAUUAUGCUACUGUUCUCACCACAUCAUGUAAACCAUAUCCCUUGGCUUUAAAGACUCCUACUGACUUAAAUCACAGCUGAAGAUGUAGCCCACAAUUUAAAAUUCACUGAAAAACAUUUAAGCCUUCAAACUUAAUAUUUGCUUGUGUUCAUGCUAUAAAGCUCAAUGACUAUAAUAGUCAUGGAAAAUUAACGCUGAAGGGGCACAGACUAAUUUAGAAUGAAUUUGUUUUAAACAUGGAUGAAGACAAUUCAUUUGCCUGAUUGCCUAGAGAAAUGAAGUUUUGGAUGAUGAAAUUGAGGCCAGCUGUUGAGAGAACAGGAAGCUCAGAAAGACCUGGAAGAAUGAGGGUGAAGACAGAAGUCAGCAAUGAGGGGAAAACUCUCCAAUUUUUAUAGGGAAAAAGUCAAGAAAGCAGACAAUCUGGAGGUGAACUAAAACACUAAUUCAUAUGAAGAACUGUAAAUUAAGUUAUUAGAAAUUUUCAGCAUAUAAAGGGUGAAAAAAUUAUUUUAAAAAUCUAA